RNAcentral lists this long non-coding RNA (3119 nucleotides) under Paramuricea clavata. Lineage: Eukaryota; Metazoa; Cnidaria; Anthozoa; Malacalcyonacea; Plexauridae. The record is from RNAcentral.
CCCGCCUUAGGAUAAUAUACUAUAUGAAAAUACAAUGACGUAAACAUCGGAAUCUGCAUGUAUAAUGAGCUACACAAAUAAAUCGCUUGAUAGCAAAUUGUGACGAACUUUAUACGUAUUUUUAAGCGUUUAAUGCAUUUUUACACAUUUUGCUGGGCUGCCUAUGGUUUCAUUGCAUAAAAGGAACGAAAUUUAAAUUUUAUCGCAGUAUUUGCCGAUAAAUCGGUAAUCGCUACAGAUAAAACAGAACAAAUUACAGUAAAUCACAACAAACUACAGAAGCGGAAGUGGGACACUUUUUGUAUUUUCACUGUAAAUGAGGGGAGCGGUCAAAACAUGAAGAUUUUCAAGCUUUUACAGUAAAUACGGAUCACAAGACAGCAAGAGAUCAAAAAUAUUCGGAAACAUUCAGGUAAGUUUGGCUCUAUUUUUUUCUUCUUAUAUACAUCAGGCAAUGACAUUUUUAGUGUUCAAUCCGAGGUUCAAUCUAGAGGCAAACAAUGUGCUUUUAUGAGUUUAUCAGCACUUUUAACUGCCCAAAAUAUACUUUUGAUCGAUUGGUCAAAAGCAACAUCUAAUCGUCUUAUUACAAGGAGACAAAAUGUACUUGCAAGCUCUGGAUAAUGGCUUUGUUGUCUUAGAAACUGCCCAAAAUAUACCACUGACCGAUUGGUCAAAAACAUCAUUUAUAAAUAAUGUCUUAUUACAAGGAGACAAAAUGUACUUGCAAGCUCUGAAUGAUGGCUUUGUUGUCUUAGAACCUGCUGUCGAAUUCUUAUCUGUCGAUAAUUUACCUAAACUUGUCAGUGUUUCAAGUUGUAUACAAACAUGUUUCUUACAAGAUAAUUAUGUGAUUCUGUGAUCGACACAAGUAAUAUACCACAUGUAGUGUAUGCAAAAACAACUACAACACCUGUGAAUCCUUUUGAUACACAAAAUAAUGAUACUAUAAACAGUCUGCCCAUGGUGGUAGGACAAAAUAAUAGCAUUCUAUAUCCAUUGUAGUAGAGUCCAUUGAGGCAAAAAUAUCAUUGAUCUGCCCAUUGUAGAGCCCAUUCAAGGCAAAAACUAUAGAUCUGCCCAUUGUGCCAAUGUGGCAGAGCCCGUUGAGGCAAAAACUAUAGAUCUGCCCGUUGUGGUAGAGCCCAUUGAGACAAAAACUAUAGAUCUGUCCAUUGUGGUAUCUAGAGCCCAUUGAGGCAAAAACUAUUGAUCUGCCUGUCGUCUAGCCCAUUGAGGCACCAACUAUCAGCGAUCUGCCCAUUGCGAUGGAGCCCAUUGAGGCACCAACUAUCAGACUAGGGGUCAGCCAGGGGGGGGUCGUGGUAUCCUAAAUAGCUGAUAAAUAUGGAUCAAAAUACCUAUUAUUAUGGUCAAAAUGUUACAUAAUACCUAAAGCAAUCAGAAGCUGUAUACCAGACCUAAUACCCAAAAUUAGUCAUAACAUAUAUACAGUAUACUCGAAUUAAAUACCAUUAGAUCCUUAUAUAUACACAAAACCCUAUGGCCGACCCUACAGACUGCUCUGCCCAUUGUGGUGGAGCCCAUUGAGGCACCAACUAUCAGUGAUCUGCCAUUAUGUGCAAAGGCAAUGAGUUUAUAGAGUUUAUAGUGUUCCAUUUCUAGAUGUUUAUAGCUUUAAACAAAUGUGGAAUGUUGCUAAAUCAGGUUUAAUAUUAAAGAUUCCUAGAGCAACCCAGUGUGGAUUAUUGUCUGCACAUAUAUUGACUUACCAGCAAUUACAUGUAAUAUUACUAACAUUUUAACUGACUUUUGUAUAAGAUCUGAGAUAUGUCUAUUGUUAGCAUAAUAUGAAAUAAUUCUAGUGGCCUACAUAUGGCUGUGUCACUACAAUAAUGCUCACAAUUUCUUUCUUAUUAUAUAUUUUUUCAGUUCUGACAGAGUGCAAUCUUAAUCAUGUCAAUGAAUGGUGUCAUCUGAAGCAUAUUAAACAGAAAUGUCAACAAAUACAUUUUGUCUACCCAUCGGCAGAUUGUUCGGUUGGUUUGUGAUAGGGGAAGCCAUGAAGGUGGCAUUAUACAUGUAAAACGAUAAUUGGAACAAAAACCGACUUUAUAGUAUUUUUAUAUAAACAUUGUUCUGUAUUCAGUGGCAAACUCACACAUGUGAUCACCAAGUUUAUACUUUAUAGUGCACUUUUUAUAAGAUGAGAUGUAAGAUACAACCAGGGAUGCCGCAACUGGGGGGGGGGGCAGGAAUGGCAGCCACCCCUGUUGCCCUUUACCACGAGGGGCAAGGGGGGCAAAGGUGUCCUUUCAAUUUAAAGGAUUGCCUUGGCAAAAUAGCGAAUUGUCAGAAAUGUUAGUGGAAUUCUUUUACUAAUUUGCUUCAGAAAACGCAAGAAUUGCAGUCAUCGAGCUUCAUGAAUAGCAUAAUCGCCUGGCGGAGAACCCCCUCACACCCCUAUCAUCCAAUAAAUAGAAAACAUGAUUAGGUGAAGUUCAACUCCCGAUGUUUUGUAAACAUCUCUUAGUACAUAUCAAUUCAAAAGUGCCCUUUCACGAAAAUCUGCCACCCUUGCCGUCACAUCGUUCCGGCGUCCCUGGAUACAAUUGUAGAAGGUAAUUGAUGUAGAACAUGUGUAAGACAUUAAAUCAUACAUACAGUGAAAAAGACACUUUUUGGUUGUAGUACAUCCUGCAUGUACAUAUCGGCAGCAUUUUGCUUGCGAUACAACCUCGUCCCCAGGGCCUUUGAGCUGGAGAAGGCCCUGGCAUCGGCUGCGGUGUUCUUAUCACCCAUUGGUCAAAUCCCUUUUACUGAAAUAGCAUAAUUAUAAUAAUUAUACAUGAAAUCGACAUGCGAAAUAUGCAUAUUAUAAAUUCAAUUAGCCAGGAGCGUACAAUACAGUAUUUCGAUGGAGAACAACAGUACACAAUCUACACCUAGAAAAGUUUAUUUAAAACAGAAACAUAAAGGAUGCUGCAGAUUAUGUGGAUGUGAAACGGAAAGCCGGCGCAUGACAAACGUUUUAUCGGUAGCAGCAGUACAGAAGUUUCUGGUUAAAAUAAUAUCCGAAUCGUGUGGAAUUUUUAUACAAAGAUCGGACGGUCUUCCCACGGCUGUAUGCAAUAAAUGCAUAACCUUCGUUAAAAAAA